CACAUUAUUUCAUGUAAGGAAACACGUUUCGAAUUUCAUAUAAAUUAAUCAAUUUAAAAAUUUUAAAAUAUUUUUGACAACGCUUUUUUAAUGUUCACCCUGUAUAAUGACGGGCUAAUAAACAAGUUGAUUUUAUCAAGAUACCAUGUAACUAAGGUUUCUUGGUUACUAAACAUAAUCAUUUAUUUUUAUUUAAACUUUCCGCAUCACGUUUAUAAGAUGUAACUUGAAAUUACUGUAUACAACAUUAACUACUGCGGCGAUAAAAGAAAAAAUACGUAACCUAAUAAUAUAGUAUAGUAUGUACUUGAAUAAUUAUUCAUAUGUAGACUAACAAUUAUUUAUUAAGAAUCCCUCCAACUCCACAUCAUUUCUGAAUGAUAGAAAUCGAUGGACACAAAAUUAUUGUAUAAAUUAUAAUAUUGUACAACUGUAUAAUGUUAAUAAACAUAUUUUUAUAU
This is a long non-coding RNA of Aethina tumida (small hive beetle), 461 nucleotides long. RefSeq lists it as uncharacterized. The record is from RefSeq and is a predicted model, not a curated record. The transcript has 2 exons. NCBI's taxonomy places the organism in Eukaryota, Metazoa, Arthropoda, Insecta, Coleoptera, Nitidulidae.